GGGCGAAAGAAGAUGGCUGACAACGAUUGAUCGAUUUAUAUGUGAUCGCGUUUCGAUGCGCAGAAGCGUAAGAUUGACAGAAAUGUUAGCUUAACUUUGUUACGCGUUUUAUUCAAAGCAGUUAAUUCAGUCACGUUAUACACGUGCAGAUGAGAUUCGAGUGGCUUUAUACACGUUCGUAUGGGUUGGAAAAAAGAGGAAGGAAGAAAAAGAAGAAGAAAAAAAGUUAUACGUUCAAUGUUAACUAUCAGUGCCAAGAUGUCAUCGUCUCCUCUACAAUUUACAAGGGGGAAAGGGAACGCAACGCUAUCCGACUAAAUUUAAUGAGCCACAUCUGAAGAAAAGGAAGAAUUCAGAAGCGAAGAUGAUGGAGGUGAAAAAAAAAAGAAGCAUAUUAACGUUAUAAGUUACGAGGAAUUUAACAGGUAAUAUGGAAAAAAAUUUGGUCUCCUUGGCAAGGUCGUCUACUCCUCCUCCAACACCUGCCGGAUUACAGGUUAUACACCACUACACGUCGCGCACACGACAGUCGCCACGAGUUUUGCGUUUUUUGAGGUAAAGAAAACAAAAAAAAAAAAAAAACAAGAAUAACAUAAAAAAUAUUAUGCAUUAUAAGGUGAAUACAAUUUAUACAUAAGAAUCUCCGCGAUACAUUGUGUAACGCGGCUGAUUUAUGUAAUUAUUUAAAAACGGAAAUUAUUCGUUUUUGGAAAUUCGAGUUAAAAUAAAAAAAAAAAAAAAAAAAAACAACUUCUCACUCAUCAGCCGCUGAUUAAAUUUCAAAGAAUAUUUUUACCGAGUCUCGAUGAAAUCCAAAAAAAUUGGAAAGGAAACGGUAAAUCAGUCGGGUAAGAACCUCCGACUUUUUUCUGAAUAUAAAAUCUUUUCGUUUUUCGUUGGAUUUUUGGUAAAACAUGAGAACCAUUUUUUGGUGCAUCUGGUUGUGAUCGACGAUGUUGAUAACGAUACGUCUGAUUUUCUCAGGAUAUACAUAUAAAUGCUCAUAAUAAUGUGAGAUGGGUUGAAAUUGCGGAUUGACAUUAAGCCUAGAUCGGUUGAAAUGUUUGAUUGCAUCUCGUGAGUUACGAGCCACCGUAACUUAAGGAUAUUUAUUAGAUACCGGAUUCCUGAAUAAAAAUCUGUUUUGAUUUCUCUGGAAUUCGCAUAUUGACGUCAAUUCAUUUUAAAACCAGGAUGUGUUCAAAAAUGUUAAGCAAUUGGCCGUAGUCGACUAUACCUAUAUAUUUCACGCCGUACACGCCGGGCGUAUCUACGGUAUAAGAAAUUUUAUAGUGAUUUUGACCGACAUAAAUUUUCAGGAAUCCGACCUCAUCCAUUGUCAAACGUGUUUCUAUCAUUUUUUUGUUCCCCUGCGUUAAAAACGGACGAGAUCCGAAACAAGGAGAAUCAAAAACUAAAACCAGAAACAUAAAAUUGAGAUGAGAAAAAAAAAAGUGAGCGUGCAGCAAUAAAAAUGUCAGGACAAUGUUCUCAAAAAACUGUCGGAUCGGUUGAUAGGUUUUUGUCGAGCGGAUUGUGGCCGGUCUCAUAAUUCUAAUUUAGGAAAUAUCGAAAUUGUAAUCGUCGCUCGUGAAUCGCGGACGAAUUGAAGAUGUUAUAAUGCGCGUAUACAGUUUUUACGUAUAGAAAUUAAAUUAUUGUGGCAGGAAAAAGCAGGUUUUAAUUUGAAUACGGAGUCAAAAAUCAUCGUAGCUAUAGUGGCUGGCGCCGAGACGGCGCGACAACAAAAUAUCUCGAAGGAGGCAGACACCAAAAGCGAUCGGCGAAAAAGACUAGCGUAGCAUAGCCUAACCUAGCAGCCACUCAGAAUUUAAGCAGGUUGGAGGCGGCACUCGCUACUCCCGGGCCUCACGUACGUUGAAAUUUCCUGUGUGUGGUCGUCGAUUGGACGGCCGCGAGGAUUGCCGAUAUGCAGGCAGAACUGAAAACGAAUAUUCACGAUGUUCAAAUUUCACCUAAAUUCUAUCUGACCUGUACGUUAAUUAUGACAGAUUGUAUACAAUUAUGAUCUGAAUUAUGAGAUGUGCGAAAUCUGACAGUCAUUGUUAAAAAAUCCCUCAACUGUUCGGGACAAUUUACCGGAGAGACCCGAUUGAAUCCUGAUCAGGUUGUCCUAGGUUUCCUCAUAAUAAUUGUUCAUUUUUGUACAAAAUAUCAGAUUUUGACUUCAUGAACCGAUUUUUGGUAAAAUCAUAUCUUUUUUUUUCAUUCAAACAUCCCAUAUACUUAUUGGGGGAUCUUGCGUUUGGCGUUGUCCACUCGGCGAAUUUGGAAUUGUGACUUUAAUUUUUUUCUUACCUGUGAGACCCUCUGGUCUCUAAUUAAUUCCAUUAUGAGAGUGUAUCAAUUUAACGGUCACGGGAAACGAUUAUAAUACUUAAUUAUGAUGCACUGUUAUGAUGGUGAUAUAAAAAAUAUAACUUUUAAAAAUUGAAAAGAUGUCACUAGUUGCUUGAUUCAAAAUUCAAAAUUAACAACAGUGCUGCUCCAGUCGGUUGUGGUUGUUGACCGAACUUCUUUGUUUAAACUUUAAUAAUAACUUACCGACGUACUGAGAAAACCAAUACCUUUUUUAUCGCCGGAGUUUUGAACAAUAAAAAAAUCAAGGCUUAUUCAAAUUCAAAUACAUCGAACAAUGAAAUUCUUAGCAAUUUAAAACUUCGUACAAUUACAGAAGUAAUGGUGAAUGCUAAAAACAGAUUCGUAAAAUUUGAACGGAUAAUGUCAGACAUUAAAAACAAUUAUCACUUACGUGAUAAAUUAGAAUCAUCACCAAACGCCUGUUUCUCGAUGAAUGUUUACUUCACUGUACGACGCUUCAGCAACCCACCCUCCUCGUUUUCUUUAUUUACUGAUCUAUUAUCAAUAGUUAAUGUCGCCAUACAUGCUGGUGCAUAUGGCACUCACAAAAUCAAUCCUGCUACGAUAUACCUCUUUCCGCUGCAGCUAAGAUUGAGAAGGAUUCAAUUCAACGAAUUGUUUAGAAUCUGUAUUCAUCGACGUAGAACAAUCUUGUGCUUUUUUCUGUGUCUUCUGAUUCCCUUGACCGCAAGGACAUCACGCAAAAUCUAUAAUUUUCAAAUACUUUCAAAAUUCGCAAAUAUGGCGACUGUCGCUAAACACUCACCUUGGACACCUUAGCCCACUGAUGCAAUUUCUAGUGACUACUAAAGGAUUCGUCGGAUGCAGCUACAUAAUUCUUCUACUAAUGUACUACAUCCAUGGGUUUGUCAUGAACACCAUGCGUGUGCAGAUACAAGAUCAUGUAUCAUAUUUUGGAAAAUAUGAACCAAGUAGAUUUUAUAUGGUCUGCUCAUUUUUGUAGUGAAUAUGAAGGCCAUUGCAGUUUGUGUACUCUUGAUAUCAUCGAUACCACUUUGGUAGAAAUGGCCUUCAGCUAAUUAAAAACAGAACUCAGAAUGUUCACCUCAUGCAGGACACAUCAUAUAGAAUAUUGAUAUAGCAUAUACUUAUGUAUAUGUGUAGAAUGUGGUAUAUAUCUCAUAUACUCUGCAAAGGAUGAGUCCACAAUAAAGCGUCAGCUCCACAGAAGAAAUUCUGGUUUUUGAUAACUGCUGUUCCCUUGAGUGGACAUGGGGUGAUGAUGCCCCUGCAUACUACACUCAUUUUUUGCAGUUGGGGAAUGUUACAAGGAAAUAUCGCUGAUUGUCUAACGACCCGUGCUACCUGGAUGAGUUCUUACGGCAUAGGCUGCUUGGCACAAAUAUCUGGUGUGCCACAAAUUUCACCACUUGGGAGUUUUUGUGCAAACCUGUUAUUUUGAAUGGGGGAAGUUACAAGGAAAUGUCAUUGGUCUGUCCAAUGGCCUGUACUGCCGGGAUGAGAUCUUGCUGGCCAUGAGUUAAUUCGGUGACAAUAAUAUAUUGUUUACAAAAUAAUAAUAAUAUGUGUUAUUAGAGCCCUGAAUAAAAAUCCGGUCUCAUUCCUUUGUAAUUCAUUGGCGUCAAUCUUUUCUAAUAAAAAAAAAACGACAUCAAAAUAUCUCAAACUUCUGUUAGAAAUUUCAUUUGCGACUUUACCGGCGACUACUAAACAGUAAAUCAUUGAGAAAUCCCCAAUGAAAUUCAGCAGCACCCUUUCCGAUCACUCCUCCAGAUUUGAUCACGCUGGUCAUUUAGGUUUGGGAGCGAGUCCAGUUAAUCUGAAGUGUGCGGGAGUGGACUGUGGCUUGUAAAGCAGAUUAUGGAUAUUGUUUAGAAUUUACACGCUGAUAGUCCUUGGGAGUGAAAUUUUUCUGACAAACAUUUUUAAACUAGUGAAAAAUUAUCACCAUGUAGUUUAUCUGCAAGUUUGUAGCGGGGUGAAUUGAAAGAGAACUUUUAAUAUUAAGUGUAAAAAAAUAUAUUCAACAAAUAGCAAUAAUACAUCAAUUUCUAGUGAUGUAAAUAUAUGUAGUCAAAUUCAGUAUCACAUUGCUCACCAAAUAUUAAAACAUAUGAAUUUCCUAGGAAUAUAAAAGAUUUACAAUUUAGUUGAUUAACUGCUCUGGUUAACAAAAAUCUCACUCACUCACUCUCUCUCUCUCUUUCUGUCUUUCCGUCUCUCUCUUGGCACAUGAAAUUCUUCGUUACUAGUCAUUAACCACCUGCCUUCGACAAAUGCCCCGAUUAACAUACCUGGAUU
This is a long non-coding RNA of Athalia rosae (coleseed sawfly), 4665 nucleotides long. RefSeq lists it as uncharacterized. The record is from RefSeq and is a predicted model, not a curated record. The transcript is spliced from 4 exons. NCBI's taxonomy places the organism in Eukaryota, Metazoa, Arthropoda, Insecta, Hymenoptera, Athaliidae.